AUCAUCAUCAAAGAGGAGAAUUUUUUUUUUUCUCAACAUAAAUUGUGUGGAGUGAAACCUAUAUUUUUUUUUUUUGGUGAUGAUAAAUGUUUCGCGAAAUUGCCGCGUCGCGAAGUGCGGCGCGUAUCGAGUCUCUUCGGAUGGUAAAAGGGAAAAUCCCCGGAUAGAAAGAGAGAUAUAUCCAUAGGGCGAGAGAGAAAGAGAGAGAGACUACAGUGAUGGUUGCAUGUUAAAUGAGCCCCGGGAUCAGAGGAUUGGGGCGGGUCUGAUUAGGGAUCAGAGGAAAAUGGCUAAACUGAUCGGUUAGGCAUCCCUUUUUUUUCUUUCUUUAUUUGUGAUUCUAGCGAAAAAGGAGAAAAUAAGGGUCAGAGGAGACUGAUGUAAAAAAAAAAAUGCAGAAUUUCAAUAUGGAAAAUUUUCUAAAGAAAAAUUUGGUAUUUUAGAUGAUUUAGAUGUGGAUCAGAUAGAAAUAUCGUGAAUCGCGCGAGUAGCGUGAAACGGUUUCCGGUCGAUAGAGGCGCGGCUACCCUGUCGGUGAUUGUGAGGAACAAAAAACCCCUCUCUUGAUUUCUUUCCGUUUGCGUGACCAUCUCUUAGUAAUCUAUAUAUAUAUGUAUGGACGAUGUGUCAAUUAGAGAAGCUUUUUUUAAUGAAUUGAUUGAUGAUAUUGGCCCAGUUUUUUUUGGGUGGGGGGGGGGGGCGUGAUUACUAUCCGAAAAUGUCCCUAGUUUUGUUGAAUAAUGAAUAGGUUGCAGGGUGGUUGUAACCUCGUUAGAUAGAGAGUAGAAAUGGUAAUCCCUCGUGCAUGAGUUCACAAAACCCUCGGUCGUAGGUUACUUCUCUCAUUUGUGGUUGGGGGGAGGGAUCUUAACGGAGAAUGUUUCCUCGGGGGUUAGCUGCUAACUUCAUAAUGAAUCACCGAGGGAGAGGAUAUGUGAAAUCAGUCAUUUUGUGACUGAUGUCUUCAUCACAAGGCGAUAUAUUUUCAUUUUUUUUCUCGAUAAUAUAUGAAAGUUCCCUAUUUUAAUAGUCACGUCAAAUGAAAAGGUCAUGUUGCCUAGAUGGCAGGACACGACAGAAGCGCACAAACAACCCUUAUGUAACUGUGGCAGUGGCAGUGACAAUGACACACGGCGCAUUUCUCCCCUCUGCAUAAACAAUAAACAUAUAUGUAUACGCGUCUUGGUCAAUUAUCUCGCGAACUGUUUUUGUUUCAAUAAUUUCGUGAUACAAGAAAAACAAAAACAAAUCGAUAUAAUGAAGAGUGCCCUUUCAAGAGAGAGAGAGCGAGAGAGAGUGAACAAGAAUUUUCGAGAUUUAAGUUCAUGAUGAUGAUAAAGAAGAAAUUGAAAGAGAGAAAAAGAUUCGACCAUUUUUUUGUUGAUAAAAACGCACGACUGGAAACCGGCAAUUCAUUUGGACAAUCGAUAUCGUCUCAUGCGAGGUGAACAGAUGUUGGAUGCACUUGGCAAUCCAACUGAUGAAAUCGGAGAGGAUGAAACUCGUGGCGAACCAUUCAUAUUAGAA
Molecule: RNA transcript, 1527 nt
Organism: Leptopilina boulardi
Lineage: Eukaryota; Metazoa; Arthropoda; Insecta; Hymenoptera; Figitidae
Exons: 3
Source: RefSeq, a predicted model, not a curated record